Molecule: ribosomal RNA, 497 nt
Filed under: uncultured bacterium
Lineage: Bacteria
Description: partial 16S ribosomal RNA
Rfam family: Bacterial small subunit ribosomal RNA
Source: RNAcentral
GACGAACGCUGGCGGCGUGCCUAAUACAUGCAAGUUGAGCGCUGAAGGUUGGUACUUGUCCCAACUGGAUGAGCAGCGAACGGGUGAGUAACGCGUGGGGAAUCUGCCUUUGAGCGGGGGACAACAUUUGGAAACGAAUGCUAAUACCGCAUAAAAACUUUAAACACAAGUUUUAAGUUUGAAAGAUGCAAUUGCAUCACUCAAAGAUGAUCCCGCGUUGUAUUAGCUAGUUGGUGAGGUAAAGGCUCACCAAGGCGAUGAUACAUAGCCGACCUGAGAGGGUGAUCGGCCACAUUGGGACUGAGACACGGCCCAAACUCCUACGGGAGGCAGCAGUAGGGAAUCUUAGGCAAUGGACGAAAGUCUGACCGAGAAACGCCGCGUGAGUGAAGAAGGGUUUCGGAUCGUAAAACUCUGUUGGUAGAGAAGAACGUUGGUGAGAGUGGAAAGCUCAUCAAGUGACGGUAACUACCCAGAAAGGGACGGCUAACUACGUG